GAAUCUGUGCAGCAGAGGUCCCGCCCCGGAGGCCUCGUGCCGAUGCCCUCUGGGUGGCUGUGGGUGAGUUGUUCUAUUUUUCUUGGCCUCCGUUUCCACAUCUCUAAAAUGGGCAUGGGGUCUGGAGAGUGCUAGCACAGUGCUGGGUCUGGAGCUGUCGCUCAGCUGGCUGGGAUGUCUUCUUCUUCUUCUUCUUCUUGAUUCAUUUUUAUUUGUCAUUAAUGACAUCUUCUCCUAGCAAAGAAAGAUACCAGCACUAAGAGCUCUCAAGCUUUUGGUCAUCUGAUCAGAGACGGAUUCGGAGGACAGAGCCGGCCCGUCCCCUGGACUUUGCACGGAGCCGCAGGCAGGGUGUUACGAGAGGGCACAGAGCCAGUGACACUUGGGUUAUGGCAACUGCCCCGAUGUCAUCGUCACCCACAGGAAGUGCCAUCAAGGCCCCCGGGGGAGCCGUGUGUCCCUGCCGCCUGAUUCUCGGAAUGGUAACCCGCAGCUCGAGGAGUGCCCGGGCUCUGACCUCCUCCUGCUCCUCGCUCACUCCAGAGGGACCCGGAGGGGACGGAAGUGGAGAAGGGGAGGUGACUGAAAGGCAGAGAAGGACCCCCACAAACAGUAAGCCCGUUGCCUGACACCUGGCGAGUGCUUUCAUGGGAAGCCUUUCCUUUCUUCGUCUCAUGAGCAACACGAGGCACAGGACUGGGAACCAAGGCCGUGAGCAGUCCAAGGCUGCCCGCUUAAACCAAGGAGGCAGAGGGGCCUGAGGCUUGCCUCUGAUUCUGAGUCCCUGGGUCCUGCCAUGAGUGACAGGAGGCCUGUGCCACAGGAGACGGCAGGAGAGGGAGCGGGUCUGUGACCUAGAGGGUGGUGGGGACUGGUAGCAGCCAGCUCGACGGGUCUCAGAUCCCUGCGCUCCAAACGGGGCAAGACAACCAAGGUCAAAGGAAGGUGAGCCCUUAACAUCAGGAUAUAGUUUUCUGGGAUGGGACUCUCCCAGGCAUAGAGGCCAAAGGAUCUGCUUUUGGCCCGGGAUCUGCUUCGGGACCAUCUGGACCCAUCAUCUCCAGGCCACCAGGGCUCUGCAGGGACUGCAUGAGAAGCAGACAUAACAACCACCAACACAAUAAUCACGAUGAUGAUGAUGAUGGUGAUGAAGAACACAGUAAUGAAGAAGUGGGUUGUUCCCCCGGCUCAGAGGGAACAUUCUUGUAUAGUCCCACUUGGCUAGGAGUAUAUUGGGGGAUUUCUUGCCAUGCCACCGCAUUCCCUCUAAGUGCUGAGGACAGAGGCUUGGUCCUGAUUCAGUGAGAGAGGGCGUGGCCAGAGAGGGUGGGGAGAACGGGGUCUGAGUGAAUUCACAGGGUACAGCUGGUGCUUUGCUCACGCAACUUGGCCAGUGGGAGUCACCUGGGUGCUAAGGAAGGUGUCCUUACGGAGGGGCUGAGAAGGACCUCUGGGGGGCACGUCCCUGCUCUGGACUCCUGCAGAUCCCCUGGGAUCCACUCCCUGGAGCUCGCAGGUUGGCAACUGAACGUGGGUGCUCAGGCAGAAACUGAGGGUCCCCCGACACCUGACUCUGUUUCUGUCUGGUGGUUCCUCUUCCGGUUACCUCCUCGUCUUGGAAUCUUUGGCCUAAUUUGGGAAAUGGUGGAGGGGGAGCAGGAUCAUGUGUCCUUCCAGAUGUGUUGGGUCUUAGACUGGGACCCAGAUCUUUGCACUGGGUAUUUGAUCAUCUUUGCUUUCUGAUUCCUCUGUGUCUGGGCUCUUGGCAGGUUGGGGAGGGCUCUGCUCAUUUGUUACUUUCCUCCACCAUAAAAGCUCUCAUUGGUUGAGUUGUACAGGUAUCACGUAAUACAGGCUCCGCUUCCUUCCUUGGGGAGGGGGCGGCGAGAACCCUCUCUGAAGGGACAGAAACAGCACUUCCUGCUCUCGGGGUUGAGGUGAGGAGGGAGAGACAAGGCCUAGUAUCAUUUGCUUGUCUCCUCGAGACAGGGCCACGGAGAGAGCUCAGUGCCCAGGAGGGCCAGCCAGGUAGAGAUGGGCUCUGAGAGGUAGAGUCGGGGGCUCUGAGAGGCUCAGCAUAUAGUAGACCUUAGUUCUUUUCCCCCCUUCCUCCUUUUUCUUAGUGAAAAUUGCUGUCACUUACUGUUGGCUUAUGUACUAUGUCUGUGCUAAGUACUAACCAUGCUUUUUCUCAUUUAGCCUAUACGACCAUUCCAUGAGGGGUGGUUUUCAUGACUAUGCAUUUUAGAUGAGGAAACUGAGGCUCAAGGAUGUGAAGUUGCUUGUUCAAGGUUACACAGCUCGUAGGUGGUAGAGCUGGGACUCACACACAAAAUAUUUAAGUCUGUGAAUGGAUGGAUGGAAGGAUUGAGGGUGGUGGGCAGGUAGAUGUAUAGAUGGAUGGAGUAGUUGAUGAAUCGGUAGGUGGGUAGAAAUGUGUUCACAGGAAUGGGGAUAGAUGUGUGGAUGGAUGCGUGGAUGGAUGGAUGGAUGGGGGAAUGGAUGGAUGGGUAGGUAGAUGGAUACAUGAAUGGAUGGAUGGAUGAGUGGGUAAUCUACCUGUUCCUUCCCCCUCAAUGUGGGCUUCGUUCCUACCCGGUCUCUUCCCUCUCUCUUAUCCAAGUUAUCCUACUCCUUGUUGGACCUGGAGUCUACCCUGAACCCCAGUAUAUUCACUCCUAGGCGAUGGACUUUACCUCUGUCUCCCAAUGAUAGACAUUUAUAUUUCAACCCAGGGCCUCUACCUACCUCUUACCUGGCUUAGACCCAAAACUUCUUCCCAGGCUGUGGCUGUGGGCUAGACCAGGAGCCCACUGGGUCCUGGCCUCCUCUCCAUUCUAUAGGGAUUUCUGGGACACUGGAUUGGCACUUUGUCAGCUGACGGAAUAGGAGGGUGGAUAUUUUAGGAGGUCUGCUCAACCCACAUAGCUUUCUUUGGAAUUCUGGGUGUUCUCAACCCUCCUAAAGCAAAGAGCCUGGGUACCAUGAUUAUAUUAUGAGACCCUUCACUCCUUCUGGCCACAGUUGAUUGGGCCACAGGCGACCAACGAACCAGAGCUAGUCUAAUAAUAGUCAUUCUCCAGGGAAUUAGAAGGGGGACACCGAGAUACUGAGUCAACGGUGGUGGACAUUCGGACUGAAUGUAUGGUUGGGUCUGAGCUGUGUCAGGUUCUAAGGCAAGUAGUAAAGGAGAUAAUAAUAUAUGUCAAGAGCUUAGCAUAGCACCUGCCACGUAGGAAGUUCUCAAUAAAUAUUAGGACUUAUGAUUGCGAUGGGGAGCAUGGAGGGUUCUGGAUGCAAAUCAGUCUCUACCAAGUCGAUUUGCAUGAGCUAUGGAAGGCAGAAGAGAGGUGGAGGCCACCUUCCUGCCCCCUUAUGGACUGUCUCUGUCGUGGAAACGUGAGAGUUUUCCACACUAUUGCUUCCCAGGUGACGAGAAGCAUCGUGAUGGGGCCAGGGGUGACAGCAGCUUCCUGACCCUGGAUUACAGGCUUUCUGAGCCCUGGAUUACAGCUCGGGGCGUGACCUUGCAGCUCUAGUCCCAGAGUCUCCCUGGAUAGGUCUGUUGUGUGUUGCUCUGGGAGCCACGGGGGGGGGGGGGGGCAGCUGGCCCUUACUCCCUCAUCGCUUCCACUGGUUUUGUACACAUCUGUGUUCAAUCCCCUCCUGCUUAACAUGUCCUGUCCUGAGCCCUGGUUAUAUGUACGGUUUCCAUCUCCUGAGA
Felis catus (domestic cat) is the source of this 3724-nucleotide long non-coding RNA. RefSeq lists it as uncharacterized. The transcript is spliced from 2 exons. The record is from RefSeq and is a predicted model, not a curated record. Lineage: Eukaryota; Metazoa; Chordata; Mammalia; Carnivora; Felidae.